GGUAACCUGCUCGGGUCCCCUUCCAGUCUGUGGGGUAUUUCCUCUUUUGCUGUUUGCAGUAAAUCUUGCUGCUGUUCAUUGUUUGGGUCCACACUGCCUUUAUGAGCUGUAACAUUCACUGUGAAGGUCUGCAGCUUAGCUCCUGAAGCCACUGAGACCACGAACCCACCAGAAGGAAGAAACUCUGAACACAUCCGAACAUCAGAAAGAACAAACUCUGGACACACCGCCUUUAGGAACUGUAACACUGACUGAGAGAGUCCCAGACUUCAUUCUUGAAUUACAGGGCUUUGACUCUUGGGUCUGAAGAAGGCACCAGCCCCUGCUAAAUUCUGAGCAUUGACACCAGUGGAAGCCUCAUCCUCAGACUUGGAAGAAGGUGGUCUAGAGAUUUCCUGCCUUCUGAAGCUUGUCUGGGAGGCAGGAAGACCACGGCGGAGGAGAAAGGAGCACUUCUACACACCUCCUCACUGACACCCCUGCCUGCCUUUGUCAGACCUUCGGAGGAGGCACUCCAUGGAGAAAGGGCUCCAGCUGACACUCUGAGUUGUGCAGCGUGGGGUGGGGUCCGGAAGAUGUACUAUUCCAGGAAACGAUUCUACUCCAAGAUGGGGGGGCCAGCAGAAUCGCCCAGGCCAGGCUGUGGCAGAUGAGCCGUCCCUCUUACAGGCAGGUGAAUCGGGAGCUGUCCCUCUGCCUGGAAUACUCCCCUAAGGCCCUCCACAGUUGCAUUGAAAAUGUCACUUGAUGCAGCUGACUCAUCUGGGCCUGAACUCUGGAUGGGCUGGACGACUGCCAUUAGGUUCCUUUGACUGGAAGCACACUGGGAGAGGUGCAUGGGCCUCCCUUGGUGAUGUCCCUUGUCCCUUUGCAUGGACACUACCAGAAGGCCGUCUGUCCCUUCGUCAGGUGGUCGCAGGCAUAGCCAGUCCAGCUGCCCACAGGAACGACCGUGAUUGCAACCUUUAUGCUGGCUUUCCUCAUGCCUGGUGUCACCUCCCCACUCCUCCCCUGCUGCUCCCCGCGUUCGCUCCCAAAUAAACUCCCGCACCUAGGUCUCUGCUCCAGGCUCUGCUCUCAGGGGAGCUCAAGAUGAGCCUCCACAGGGAGGUCUUCCCUGACCACUUAGAGGAGGCUGGGUCACCCUGUUGGACACUCUAGCCACUCCCUGCACUUCCCGUUCUCAGCACUUAAUGGCCUUGUGAUUAAGAAACUUUUGGUAUAGUUAUUUAUUCCUAUCUCACUCCUGACUAGGCUAUAAACUCCCCAGGCAGAGAAGAGUCUGUCCUCUGAACCACUUUUGCUCAGAGUGCAUAGUAGGUGCUGAGAACUAAAAAUCAAAUCCUAAGCCCCACAACGGACUGAACAGACCCACUCUUGGCCAAGGGGACCCAGGAGAAACCUUAAAAACCAAGUUCCUGGCCAUGAUGGGACAGGAGGCCAAACACAUCUCAGUAUGCCCCUUACUUACUGACUUUUAACCAGAAUUCCUUCGUAAGGAGUAAGCAGAUUUGGAAAACAAGAAACAGACGACUCAUUCCUUUAUUACCUUCAGCCAAUCGUGACCAUGCCAAUGAGGCCAUGACCAGACUCCCUCUUCCCCUUUGCAGUUUUGACAUGAAAGCUCACCAGCUUCAUAAUGGUAUCCCUUCCUAAAAACUGACCACCCUCCAGCUUUAAAAAAAAAAAAAAGAAAGAAAAAAAAAAAGAAAAGAAACGGCCAGUGACCAUCUCUGGGCCAGUUUUGGCCACCCUCUGGAGGAUGUGCGUGAGGGUUUUCACGUCCUUUGCUUCACCUUUUGAUGUCUGAGGACCAAAAAUUCCACCCUUGAGGAUCAUACUAACCCUGGUAUUGUUUGGACAUGCAACCCAAGAAGAGGCAUGAAGCUGGACCACGCAUGUGCAUGUUUCUCCUUUCAUCAGUAUUCAUGGCUCCUCCGGUCGCUGGUUACGUGUGUAUAUUCAGCCGUCUCACUCAGCAUAAGUUCCUGUUCCCUUUACCCUUCCCUCAAACUGCUUGCUCUCUGCAGAGCCAGAGGCCAUGCUGCCCAGCCUAUGGGAUGGCUGGCCUGCAGGCUGCCUCUGUUUAUGAUAAAUAAAGAUCUCCUUUCCAC
RNAcentral lists this long non-coding RNA (2114 nucleotides) under Homo sapiens (human). Its description in RNAcentral is "uncharacterized LOC101927467 (LOC101927467)". The record is from RNAcentral. Lineage: Eukaryota; Metazoa; Chordata; Mammalia; Primates; Hominidae.